AGACAAGAUUCCGGGCCCUACGGGGCGCAGCAGGCGCGAAACCUUUACACUGCACGCCAGUGCGAUAAGGGGAUCCCGAGUGCACAGGCAUAGAGCCUGUGCUUUUCUGAACCGUAGGGAGGUUCAGGAACAAGAGCUGGGCAAGACCGGUGCCAGCCGCCGCGGUAAUACCGGCAGCUCGAGUGAUGGCCGAUCUUAUUGGGCCUAAAGCGUCCGUAGCUGGCCUUGCAAGUCCGUCGGGAAAUCCACCCGCUCAACGGGUGGGCGUCCGGCGGAAACUGUGAGGCUUGGGACCGGGAGGCUUGAAGGGUACGUCCGGGGUAGGAGUGAAAUCCCGUAAUCCUGGACGGACCGCCGAUGGGGAAACCACUUCAAGAGAACGGAUCCGACAGUGAGGGACGAAAGCUAGGGUCUCGAACCGGAUUAGAUACCCGGGUAGUCCUAGCUGUAAACGAUGCCUGUUAGGUGUGACUCCCACUACGAGUGGGUGUUGUGCCGUAGGGAAGCCGCUAAACAGGCCGCCUGGGAAGUACGUCUGCAAGGAUGAAACUUAAAGGAAUUGGCGGGGGAGCACUACAACCGGAGGAGCCUGCGGUUUAAUUGGACUCAACGCCGGACAUCUCACCAGCAUCGACUGUGGUAAUGACGGUCAGGUUGAUGACCUUACCCGAGCCACAGAGAGGAGGUGCAUGGCCGCCGUCAGCUCGUACCGUGAGGCGUCCUGUUAAGUCAGGCAACGAGCGAGACCCGCAUCCUUACUUGCCAGCAGCACCGUGAGGUGGCUGGGGACAGUAGGGAGACCGCCGUGGCUAACACGGAGGAAGGAACGGGCAACGGUAGGUCAGUAUGCCCCGAAUAUGCUGGGCAACACGCGGGCUACAAUGGUCGAGACAAUGGGUUCCAACGCCGAGAGGCGACGGUAAUCUCAGAAACUCGAUCGUAGUUCGGAUUGUGGACUGAAACUCGUCCACAUGAAGCUGGAUUCGGUAGUAAUCGC
RNAcentral lists this ribosomal RNA (997 nucleotides) under uncultured archaeon. Its description in RNAcentral is "bacterial SSU rRNA". It matches the Rfam family "Archaeal small subunit ribosomal RNA", at positions 306 to 1301 of the family's 1478-position model. The record is from RNAcentral.